This 690-nucleotide ribosomal RNA is filed under the name uncultured bacterium. Its description in RNAcentral is "bacterial SSU rRNA". It matches the Rfam family "Bacterial small subunit ribosomal RNA", at positions 800 to 1494 of the family's 1533-position model. The record is from RNAcentral.
CCCUAAUCGAUCCCGACUAGUUCUUGGAAAUUUACAUUAUCGGUAUAGUAGACAACGCGUGAAUUCGGUCCCCUGGGGAAUUACGGUCGCAAGAUUAGGACUUAAAGUAAUUGACGGGGAUCCGCGCAAGCGCUGGAUGAUGUGGAUUAAUAAGAUGCAACCCGAAAAACCUUACGGACCCUUGACAUGUCAAUAUCGAAGUAGAGAGGCAAGAGGUGCCCGUAAGGAAAAGUGGACACAGGGUCUGCAUGUCUGUUCGAGCUCGUGUCAUAGAAUAUUGGGUUAAGUCCCGCUCCGAGCGCCACCCUGCUCUUUUGGUGCUACGCAAGAUCAUUAUAAAGAGACUGCCGAUGCCAACCCGGAGGAANNNNNNNAUGAGUUCAAGUCUUCAUGGCCCUUAGGGGUUGGACUUCACACAUCAUACAAUGGUGCAUGCGGAGGGUUUCCAACCCGCGAGGGGGAUCUAAUGUCAGAAAAUGCUUCGUAGUCCGGAUGGUAGUAAGCAACUCGCUUAAAUGAAGCUGGAAUCGUUAGUAAUCGCGGAUCUUAAUGUGGCGGUGAAUACGUUCCCGGGUGUUGUCCACACCACCCGUCACACCAUGGGAGUGGGUUUCCCCAGAAGCCCUUCUCCUAUCCACAAGGAGGGCGGCUACCACGCCAGUCUUCAUGACUGUGAUGUAGUCGCAACAA